AACGAACGCUGGCGGCAUGCCUAACACAUGCAAGUCGAACGAGACCUUCGGGUCUAGUGGCGCACGGGUGCGUAACGCGUGGGAACCUGCCCUUAGGUUCGGAAUAACUCCCCGAAAGGGGUGCUAAUACCGGAUAAUGUCUUCGGACCAAAGAUUUAUCGCCUUUGGAUGGGCCCGCGUUGGAUUAGCUAGUUGGUAGGGUAAAAGCCUACCAAGGCGACGAUCCAUAGCUGGUCUGAGAGGAUGAUCAGCCACACUGGAACUGAGACACGGCCCAGACUCCUACGGGAGGCAGCAGUGGGGAAUAUUGGACAAUGGGCGAAAGCCUGAUCCAGCAAUGCCGCGUGAGUGAUGAAGGCCUUAGGGUUGUAAAGCUCUUUUACCCGGGAUGAUAAUGACGGUACCGGGAGAAUAAGCUCCGGCUAACUCCGUG
RNAcentral lists this ribosomal RNA (433 nucleotides) under uncultured bacterium. Its description in RNAcentral is "partial 16S ribosomal RNA". It matches the Rfam family "Bacterial small subunit ribosomal RNA", at positions 29 to 507 of the family's 1533-position model. The record is from RNAcentral.